This 468-nucleotide ribosomal RNA is filed under the name uncultured bacterium. Its description in RNAcentral is "partial 16S ribosomal RNA". It matches the Rfam family "Bacterial small subunit ribosomal RNA", at positions 28 to 507 of the family's 1533-position model. The record is from RNAcentral.
GACGAACGCUGGCGGCGUGCUUAACACAUGCAAGUCGAACGGAAAGACCCUGCUUUUGUGGGGUGCUCGAGUGGCGAACGGGUGAGUAACACGGGAGUAACCUGCCCUUGACUUUGUGAUAACUUCAGGAAACUGGGGCUAAUACCGGAUAGGAGCUCCUGCUGCAUGGUGGGGGUUGGAAAGUUUCGGCGGUUGGGGAUGGACUCGCGGCUUAUCAGCUUGUUGGUGGGGUAGUGGCUUACCAAGGCUUUGACGGGUAGCCGGCCUGAGAGGGUGACCGGCCACAUUGGGCCUGAGAUACGGCCCAGACUCCUACGGGAGGCAGCAGUGGGGAAUAUUGCACAAUGGGCGGAAGCCUGAUGCAGCAACGCCGCGUGCGGGAUGACGGCCUUCGGGUUGUAAACCGCUUUCGCCUGUGACGAAGCGUGAGUGACGGUAAUGGGUAAAGAAGCACCGGCUAACUACGUG